ACGUUCAAGGCCGAAAGCCCUCCAGUUUCCCCUGGACACCUUGCUCCUGCUUCUGCUACGACCUUCUGGGGAACGCGAAUUUCUCAUUUUCUUCUUAAAUUGCCAUUUUCGCUUUAGGAGAUGAAUGUUUUCCUUUGGCUGUUUUGGCAAUGACUCUGAAUUAAAGCGAUGCUAACGCCUGUUCCCCCUAAUUGUUAAAAGCUGUGGACUGCAGAAAGAUGGCCCGCUUCUCUUACAGUGUGAUUUGGAUCAUGGCCAUUUCUAAAGCCUUUGAACUGGGAUUAGUUGCCGGGCUGGGCCAUCAGGAAUUUGCUCGUCCAUCUCGGGGAGACCUGGCCUUCAGAGAUGACAGCAUUUGGCCCCAGGAGGAGCCUGCAAUUCGGCCUCGGUCUUCCCAGCAUGUGCCGCCCAUGGGGAUACAGCACAGUAAGAACUGCCUGGCUUCGAUGCUUCUGCCCUGGCCCUUCAUGUGUCUCCUGAGUAUCUUUCCAACACUCUUUCACCUAAAAGGGCACCUGGUUCUGGAACUGGGCAGGUGCUGGACUGCUUUUGGUUUUGGAAGUGAGACAGGGAUUGUGUAUUUUACUUCCCUAGAGCGCAGUUUUCCUCACCUGAGUCCACUUCACGCUGGGGAACCCCAGAACCACCACUGGCCUAUGCAUGAAAAUGACUUCUCUGCUCAAAGGCGCAGAGUCUUACUCUG
RNAcentral lists this small RNA (703 nucleotides) under Pongo abelii (Sumatran orangutan). RNAcentral's name for it is "retained intron". Lineage: Eukaryota; Metazoa; Chordata; Mammalia; Primates; Hominidae. The record is from RNAcentral.